GACGAACGCUGGCGGCGUGCCUAAUACAUGCAAGUCGAGCGAGCAAAACUAACAGAUUUACUUCGGUAAUGACGUUAGGAAAGCGAGCGGCGGAUGGGUGAGUAACACGUGGGGAACCUGCCCCAUAGUCUGGGAUACCACUUGGAAACAGGUGCUAAUACCGGAUAAGAAAGCAGAUCGCAUGAUCAGCUUUUAAAAGGCGGCGUAAGCUGUCGCUAUGGGAUGGCCCCGCGGUGCAUUAGCUAGUUGGUAAGGUAAAGGCUUACCAAGGCGAUGAUGCAUAGCCGAGUUGAGAGACUGAUCGGCCACAUUGGGACUGAGACACGGCCCAAACUCCUACGGGAGGCAGCAGUAGGGAAUCUUCCACAAUGGACGCAAGUCUGAUGGAGCAACGCCGCGUGAGUGAAGAAGGUUUUCGGAUCGUAAAGCUCUGUUGUUGGUGAAGAAGGAUAGAGGUAGUAACUGGCCUUUAUUUGACGGUAAUCAACCAGAAAGUCACGGCUAACUACGUGCCAGCAGCCGCGGUAAUACGUAGGUGGCAAGCGUUGUCCGGAUUUAUUGGGCGUAAAGCGAGCGCAGGCGGAAGAAUAAGUCUGAUGUGAAAGCCCUCGGCUUAACCGAGGAACUGCAUCGGAAACUGUUUUUCUUGAGUGCAGAAGAGGAGAGUGGAACUCCAUGUGUAGCGGUGGAAUGCGUAGAUAUAUGGAAGAACACCAGUGGCGAAGGCGGCUCUCUGGUCUGCAACUGACGCUGAGGCUCGAAAGCAUGGGUAGCGAACAGGAUUAGAUACCCUGGUAGUCCAUGCCGUAAACGAUGAGUGCUAAGUGUUGGGAGGUUUCCGCCUCUCAGUGCUGCAGCUAACGCAUUAAGCACUCCGCCUGGGGAGUACGACCGCAAGGUUGAAACUCAAAGGAAUUGACGGGGGCCCGCACAAGCGGUGGAGCAUGUGGUUUAAUUCGAAGCAACGCGAAGAACCUUACCAGGUCUUGACAUCUAGUGCCAUUUGUAGAGAUACAAAGUUCCCUUCGGGGACGCUAAGACAGGUGGUGCAUGGCUGUCGUCAGCUCGUGUCGUGAGAUGUUGGGUUAAGUCCCGCAACGAGCGCAACCCUUGUUAUUAGUUGCCAGCAUUAAGUUGGGCACUCUAAUGAGACUGCCGGUGACAAACCGGAGGAAGGUGGGGAUGACGUCAAGUCAUCAUGCCCCUUAUGACCUGGGCUACACACGUGCUACAAUGGGCAGUACAACGAGAAGCGAGCCUGCGAAGGCAAGCGAAUCUCUGAAAGCUGUUCUCAGUUCGGACUGCAGUCUGCAACUCGACUGCACGAAGCUGGAAUCGCUAGUAAUCGCGGAUCAGCACGCCGCGGUGAAUACGUUCCCGGGCCUUGUACACACCGCCCGUCACACCAUGGGAGUCUGCAAUGCCCAAAGCCGGUGGCCUAACCUUCGGGAAGGAGCCGUCUAAGGCAGGGCAGAUGACUGGGGUGAAGUCGUAACAAGGUA
This 1502-nucleotide ribosomal RNA is filed under the name uncultured Lactobacillus sp. RNAcentral's name for it is "bacterial SSU rRNA". It matches the Rfam family "Bacterial small subunit ribosomal RNA". The record is from RNAcentral. Lineage: Bacteria; Bacillati; Bacillota; Bacilli; Lactobacillales; Lactobacillaceae.